RNAcentral lists this ribosomal RNA (270 nucleotides) under uncultured archaeon. RNAcentral describes it as "partial 16S ribosomal RNA". It matches the Rfam family "Archaeal small subunit ribosomal RNA", at positions 477 to 747 of the family's 1478-position model. The record is from RNAcentral.
CUGCAGCCCGAGUGGUGAUCGAUUUUAUUGAGCCUAAAGCGUCCGUAGCCGGACUAGUAAACCCUUGGGUAAAUUGGGCAGCUUAACUGUCCAAAUUCCGAGGGGACUGCUAGUCUUGGGACCGGGAGAGGUCAGAGGUACUCAAGGGGUAGGGGCUAAAUCCUGUAAUCCUUUGGGGACCACCAGUGGCGAAGGCGUCUGACUAGGACGGAUCCGACGGUAAGGGACGAAACCCUGGGGCGCGAACCGGAUUAGAGACCCGAGUAGUCC